Non-coding RNA from Salmo salar (Atlantic salmon), 54 nucleotides. NCBI's taxonomy places the organism in Eukaryota, Metazoa, Chordata, Actinopteri, Salmoniformes, Salmonidae. The record is from Rfam.
UGCACUCACUACUGUAAGUCGCUCUGGAUAAGAGUGUCUGCUAAAUGGCUAAAA